Molecule: long non-coding RNA, 1053 nt
Filed under: Phasianus colchicus (ring-necked pheasant)
Lineage: Eukaryota; Metazoa; Chordata; Aves; Galliformes; Phasianidae
Description: lncRNA (ENSPCLG00000021660.1)
Source: RNAcentral
AUGGGGAUAGGUGGGUGUUUGCAGGCAGCCCGUGUGGAGCUGAGUGGUGCUGUGCAGCGUAGUUCCCCUCUCCCUCUUUGUUUUUCUCCACUUGCACAGCCUGCAUGGCACAGCCCGUGCCUUGGGGGAGGAUGUGGUGUUCUCCAGGCCAGUUCCUCACUGCAGCAGCACACGCUGGCAGAACCAGCCCUGCACACCUUGGGACACAGGGGAUGCUGCUUUGUGCCUGCAGGAAGGAGCAGCUCAGGGAUGUGCUUACAGGUAAAGAGCAAAUCCUUGCGUGGGGCUCUGGAGGCAGCCCUGGUGGGGCUUUUUUCUUCUUUUUUUUGGGUAUGGAGCUCAUGAGUUUGGAAGCUUUGAAUUCAAAGCCUUAAGGGAUGCAGCUCCCCGCUGAUGGAGCUAUUUCCUUUUUUGCUUUAUUUCAUGUUGGGUUUCCAACACCGGAGCUCCAUCUGCACCUCAUGCUGAUGUUGGGCCCCUCCCCAUUCCGCAGGGCUGGGAAACGUGUGAGCAUUUCAUAGACACAGUGCAUAGGGCAUCUCACAGCUGCGGGCAUUCACUUGCAGAGCACAGCUGGGCUUUGUGGGACACAUAGCUAUGACUUGCUGGUGGCCUCUCCUCCACCAGCACCUCCCCAGUGACACGCAGUGCCCAUGGCACAUCCCAGCACUGGGUUUGCACAGCAGAGGUUUACCUUGCUGCUGGGAUCCUCCCUGCUGCCGUCACACAGUGAGAACAGAGAGCUGAAUGCAGACCUUUGUGCUCUGUGUUUGUUCUUUGUCCAUCCCAGCAGGACAGACCCAACUGGUGGCACUGUGCGCAACUGCAAUGCAAGCAUGCAAAUGCAGCACGUGCACGGGCCUCCUGCUUUCAUGCACUGCGCUUGGAAGCAGCCAGGCAUGAUGCAGAAUGCAAGCACAGGGCAGCUCAGCCAUCUGCAGCCCCGCAUGAAGGCAAUGUAAGCAGCUGCUCUGCUCCUCCUUGCAUGCAUAAAUUGCAGCACGCAGUGGCAAUGCUGCACCGCCGUGCUGCACCCGGCUGCAGGUUGAGCUU